RNAcentral lists this ribosomal RNA (253 nucleotides) under uncultured bacterium. Its description in RNAcentral is "partial 16S ribosomal RNA". It matches the Rfam family "Bacterial small subunit ribosomal RNA", at positions 524 to 776 of the family's 1533-position model. The record is from RNAcentral.
UACGAAGGGGGCUAGCGUUGCUCGGAAUCACUGGGCGUAAAGGGUGUGUAGGUGGCGCGCUAAGUCGGGUGUGAAAUUUCGGAGCUUAACUCCGAAACUGCAUUCGAUACUGGCGUGCUUGAGGACUGGAGAGGAGACUGGAAUUUACGGUGUAGCAGUGAAAUGCGUAGAUAUCGUAAGGAAGACCAGUGGCGAAGGCGGGUCUCUGGACAGUUCCUGACACUGAGACACGAAGGCCAGGGGAGCAAACGGG